This 440-nucleotide ribosomal RNA is filed under the name uncultured bacterium. RNAcentral's name for it is "partial 16S ribosomal RNA". It matches the Rfam family "Bacterial small subunit ribosomal RNA", at positions 338 to 795 of the family's 1533-position model. The record is from RNAcentral.
CCUACGGGAGGCAGCAGUGGGGGAUAUUGCACAAUGGGGGAAACCCUGAUGCAGCAACGCCGCGUGAGGGAAGAAGCUUUUCGGCUCGUAAACCUCUAUCCUCAGGGAAGAUAAUGACGGUAGCUGACGAGGAAGCCCCGGCUAACUACGUGCCAGCAGCCGCGGUAAUACGUAGGGAGCAAGCGUUGUCCGGAUUUACUGGGUGUAAAGGGUGCGCAGGCGGCCAUGCAAGCCAGAAGUGAAAUCCAGGGGCUCAACCCGGGGACUGCUCUUGGAACUGUAGGGCUGGAGUGCAGGAGGGGCAGGCGGAAUUCCUGGUGUAGCGGUGAAAUGCGUAGAGAUUAGGAGGAACACCAGUGGCGAAGGCGGCCUGCUGGACUGUAACUGACGUUGAGGCACGAAGGCGUGGGUAGCAAACAGGAUUAGAUACCCGAGUAGUC